RNAcentral lists this ribosomal RNA (465 nucleotides) under uncultured bacterium. Its description in RNAcentral is "bacterial SSU rRNA". It matches the Rfam family "Bacterial small subunit ribosomal RNA", at positions 330 to 792 of the family's 1533-position model. The record is from RNAcentral.
CCCAGACUCCUACGGGAGGCAGCAGUGAGGAAUAUUGGUCAAUGGGCGGAAGCCUGAACCAGCCAAGUCGCGUGAGGGAAUAAGGCCCUACGGGUCGUAAACCUCUUUUGCCGGGGAGCAAGGGCCGGGACGCGUCCCGGCCCGGAGAGUACCCGGAGAAAAAGCAUCGGCUAACUCCGUGCCAGCAGCCGCGGUAAUACGGAGGAUGCGAGCGUUAUCCGGAUUUAUUGGGUUUAAAGGGUGCGUAGGCGGGUUUUUAAGUCAGCGGAAAAAAUGCGGGGCUCAACCCCGGCGAGCCGUUGAAACUGUCGGACUAGAGACGGCGAGAAGUACGCGGAAUGCGCGGUGUAGCGGUGAAAUGCAUAGAUAUCGCGCAGAACUCCGAUUGCGAAGGCAGCGUACCGGCGCCGGACUGACGCUGAGGCACGAAAGCGUGGGUAUCGAACAGGAUUAGAUACCCGAGUA